This 578-nucleotide ribosomal RNA is filed under the name uncultured bacterium. RNAcentral describes it as "bacterial SSU rRNA". It matches the Rfam family "Bacterial small subunit ribosomal RNA", at positions 338 to 916 of the family's 1533-position model. The record is from RNAcentral.
CCUACGGGAGGCAGCAGUAAGGAAUAUUGGUCAAUGGACGAAAGUCUGAACCAGCCAUGCCGCGUGAAGGAUGAAGGUCCUCUGGAUUGUAAACUUCUUUUAUAUGGGACGAAAAAAGGGUUUUCUAACUCAACUGACGGUACCAUAUGAAUAAGCACCGGCUAACUCCGUGCCAGCAGCCGCGGUAAUACGGAGGGUGCAAGCGUUAUCCGGAUUCACUGGGUUUAAAGGGUGCGUAGGUGGGUUGGUAAGUCAGUGGUGAAAUCCCCGAGCUUAACUCGGGAACUGCCAUUGAUACUAUCAGCCUUGAAUACCGUGGAGGUCAGCAGAAUAUGUCAUGUAGCGGUGAAAUGCUUAGAUAUGACAUAGAAUACCAAUUGCGAAGGCAGCUGGCUACCCGAAUAUUGACACUGAGGCACGAAAGCGUGGGGAUCAAACAGGAUUAGAUACCCUGGUAGUCCACGCCCUAAACUAUGGAUACUCGACAUACGCGAUACACUGUGUGUGUCUGAGCGAAAGCAUUAAGUAUCCCACCUGGGAAGUACGACCGCAAGGUUGAAACUCAAAUGAAUUGACGG